GGUGAUAUAGCUUAGAUGGUAGAGCAUUUGCCUAGCAUGCACAAGCCUGGGUCCAAUCCCCAGCACCACCA
Ictidomys tridecemlineatus (thirteen-lined ground squirrel) is the source of this 71-nucleotide non-coding RNA. The record is from Rfam. Lineage: Eukaryota; Metazoa; Chordata; Mammalia; Rodentia; Sciuridae.